GAUGAACGCUGGCGGCGUGCCUAAUACAUGCAAGUCGAGCGAACAGACGAGGAGCUUGCUCCUCUGACGUUAGCGGCGGACGGGUGAGUAACACGUGGAUAACCUACCUAUAAGACUGGGAUAACUUCGGGAAACCGGAGCUAAUACCGGAUAACAUGUUGAACCGCAUGGUUCAACAGUGAAAGACGGUUUUGCUGUCACUUAUAGAUGGAUCCGCGCCGCAUUAGCUAGUUGGUAAGGUAACGGCUUACCAAGGCAACGAUGCGUAGCCGACCUGAGAGGGUGAUCGGCCACACUGGAACUGAGACACGGUCCAGACUCCUACGGGAGGCAGCAGUAGGGAAUCUUCCGCAAUGGGCGAAAGCCUGACGGAGCAACGCCGCGUGAGUGAAGAAGGUCUUCGGAUCGUAAAACUCUGUUAUUAGGGAACAACAAAUGUGUAAGUAACUAUGCACGUCUUGACGGUACCUAAUCAGAAAGCCACGGCUAACUACGUG
RNAcentral lists this ribosomal RNA (497 nucleotides) under uncultured bacterium. Its description in RNAcentral is "partial 16S ribosomal RNA". It matches the Rfam family "Bacterial small subunit ribosomal RNA", at positions 28 to 507 of the family's 1533-position model. The record is from RNAcentral.